This 570-nucleotide ribosomal RNA is filed under the name uncultured bacterium. RNAcentral's name for it is "partial 16S ribosomal RNA". It matches the Rfam family "Bacterial small subunit ribosomal RNA", at positions 355 to 918 of the family's 1533-position model. The record is from RNAcentral.
UGGGGAAUUUUGGACAAUGGGCGAAAGCCUGAUCCAGCAAUGCCGCGUGUGUGAAGAAGGCCUUCGGGUUGUAAAGCACUUUUGUCCGGAAAGAAAUCCUUGGCUCUAAUACAGUCGGGGGAUGACGGUACCGGAAGAAUAAGCACCGGCUAACUACGUGCCAGCAGCCGCGGUAAUACGUAGGGUGCAAGCGUUAAUCGGAAUUACUGGGCGUAAAGCGUGCGCAGGCGGUUUGCUAAGACCGAUGUGAAAUCCCCGGGCUCAACCUGGGAACUGCAUUGGUGACUGGCAGGCUAGAGUAUGGCAGAGGGGGGUAGAAUUCCACGUGUAGCAGUGAAAUGCGUAGAGAUGUGGAGGAAUACCGAUGGCGAAGGCAGCCCCCUGGGCCAAUACUGACGCUCAUGCACGAAAGCGUGGGGAGCAAACAGGAUUAGAUACCCUGGUAGUCCAGCGCCCUAAACGAUGUCAACUAGUUGUUGGGGAUUCAUUCCUUAGUAACGUAGCUAACGCGUGAAGUUGACCGCCUGGGGAGUACGGUCGCAAGAUUAAAACUUAAAGGAAUUGACGGGG